UAUAUAUAUUUAAUUUAAUUGUUAUUUUAUUUAAUUUAUUAUUUGUAAGAAAUAACUUUUGUCUUAGUAUAUUUUUUGGAAUAGAUAUUUUUAUAUUUAUAGUUAAGUUUUUCUGUAAAGUUUUAUUAUUAAUAAAUAAUUUAAAGUAAAGUUUGAUUCUUGUACCUUUUGCAUCAGGGUUUAUCAAAUAUUUAAUAAUUAUAUUUAUGUUUCCCGAAAUUAGAAGAGAUACAUUAUUAAUUGCUAUUUAUUGUGUUAAAAUUAUUUGUAAAUUUAAUGUAGGGGUUAUAUACUAUUCAAUUCUAAAUAUCUGGUUAUCUAAUAAAUGAAUUUAAUUCAUUAUUGGUGUUAUUUGUUAUGUUAUAUUUUUAUUUUUAAUAUUUUACAUCAAUUUAAUAUUGGAGGGGAUAAGCUCUUUAAUAUUUCCAUAAUAUAUUUAUUUAUUAAAAUUACUUAGGUUUAAAAACGGCCAUUGUUUAUUUCGUUAUAGUUAAUUUUUGUUUGUGAUUUAUUUAUAGAUUGAUUUGGAUUUUUAUUAGAUUAUUUAUUUAAAUUAUGCCUAUAUAAGGAAUAAUGAUAAAAUUAGUAUAGUUUUUAUGUGUAGUAGAGUAAUUCGGCAAUAUUAAUGUUCACCUGUUUAACAAAAACAUGUCCUAUUGUUGAUUAUAUUAUAUUAGGUUAAGCCUGCUCAGUGAUUAUAUAUUAAAUAGCCGCAGUAAUUUGACUGUGCGAAGGUAGCAUAAUCAUUUGUCUUUUAAUUGGAGGCUUGUAUGAAUGGUUUGAUGAAACUUUAACUUUCUUUGCUACAAGAAUUAGAAUUUAAUAUUUGAGUUAAAAAGCUUAGAUAUUUCCAUAGGACGAGAAGACCCUAUAGAAUUUUACUAUAUUUAGUUUUAUUUAUAUUAGGUUAUUUAUUUUUAAAUAUUUAUUAUUUAUAGUUGUGUUGGGGUGACAGGGAAAUUUUAAUAACUUUCUUUAUUUAUUAUUUAAUAAUGUUUAUAUAUUUGAUCCUUUAUUAUGGAUAGUAAGAUUAAAUUACCUUAGGGAUAACAGCGUAAUUUCUUUGGAGAGUUCAUAUCGAUAAAGGAGUUUGCGACCUCGAUGUUGGAUUAAAAUAUGUGUUAAGUGCAGAAGCUUAAUUACUAGGUCUGUUCGACCUUUAAUAUUUUACAUGAUCUGAGUUCAGACCGGCGUGAGCCAGGUUGGUUUCUAUCCUUGGUUUAUAUUCUUUGUUUUAGUACGAAAGGACCAGACAGGGUAUUUAUUAUAAUUAUUAAUGUUGAUUAUUAAUAAAGAUAUAUUUUAUUAU
RNAcentral lists this ribosomal RNA (1309 nucleotides) under Macroscytus gibbulus. Its description in RNAcentral is "16S ribosomal RNA". The stretch from base 851 to 1219 matches the Rfam family "Archaeal large subunit ribosomal RNA", at positions 2150 to 2716 of the family's 2987-position model. Lineage: Eukaryota; Metazoa; Arthropoda; Insecta; Hemiptera; Cydnidae. The record is from RNAcentral.